Molecule: transfer RNA, 87 nt
Rfam family: tRNA
About the family: Transfer RNA (tRNA) molecules are approximately 80 nucleotides in length. Their secondary structure includes four short double-helical elements and three loops (D, anti-codon, and T loops).
GGCCGUUUGGCGCAAUGGUAGCGCGUAAGCUUCCGGUUGUACAUCACCUCCUGCUUAAGGCUCUGGGUUCGAGUCCCAGGAUGGUCG